RNAcentral lists this ribosomal RNA (253 nucleotides) under uncultured bacterium. RNAcentral describes it as "partial 16S ribosomal RNA". It matches the Rfam family "Bacterial small subunit ribosomal RNA", at positions 524 to 776 of the family's 1533-position model. The record is from RNAcentral.
UACGAAGGGGGCUAGCGUUGCUCGGAAUCACUGGACGUAAAGCGCACGUAGGCGGAUCUUUAAGUCAGGGGUGAAAUCCUGGAGCUCAACUCCAGAACUGCCUUUGAUACUGGGGAUCUCGAGUCCGGAAGAGGUGAGUGGAACUCCGAGUGUAGAGGUGAAAUUCGUAGAUAUUCGGAAGAACACCAGUGGCGAAGGCGGCUCACUGGUCCGGUACUGACGCUGAGGUGCGAAAGCGUGGGGAGCAAACGGG